Molecule: long non-coding RNA, 480 nt
Organism: Onychomys torridus (southern grasshopper mouse)
Lineage: Eukaryota; Metazoa; Chordata; Mammalia; Rodentia; Cricetidae
Exons: 3
Source: RefSeq, a predicted model, not a curated record
CUGCUCAGGACCCAAAGCAGAGUGCUGGCUCUUCUACCGAGUGACCCACAAGGGGGUUGUCUCCCAUGGUCAUACUCCGGGGCCCUGAGACAAAGUCAGAUUCACGCCGUUGCAGCUGGAGAACCGCUUCAGUGAAGGGCUGGCGUGUGUCUCUGGAGCUGGGUGGGGAGUGUGCAUCCUGUCCGGCGGCCACCCUGGGGAGACAGCCAACCCCGGAGGUGGCUUCCUGGGAGUCACAACCUGAGCAGACCUGGUCUCCCCUCCAGGAAGGGCUGGGCUUGGGGACUGGCUGUGACUAUGGGGCCCAGUGUUCCAGAAGGAAGGGAUGAGGGGAGGGAAGGUCAGAUCUGGAAUGUUCCAUGGAGGUUGCAGGGUCUGGAGAAUAUAUUUGAUAGAAAAAUAAGGUGCUUUGGGAAUUUGUGCAGUCUGUGCCCUGCCUGCCCAAGAGAGACCUGCCCUGCUGGCCAAAGGGUAGUGAGG